This 1385-nucleotide ribosomal RNA is filed under the name Streptococcus sp. RNAcentral describes it as "bacterial SSU rRNA". It matches the Rfam family "Bacterial small subunit ribosomal RNA", at positions 71 to 1443 of the family's 1533-position model. Lineage: Bacteria; Bacillati; Bacillota; Bacilli; Lactobacillales; Streptococcaceae. The record is from RNAcentral.
GAGAGGAGCUUGCUCUUCUUGGAUGAGUUGCGAACGGGUGAGUAACGCGUAGGUAACCUGCCUUGUAGCGGGGGAUAACUAUUGGAAACGAUAGCUAAUACCGCAUAACAAUGGAUGACCCAUGUCAUUUAUUUGAAAGGGGCAAAUGCUCCACUACAAGAUGGACCUGCGUUGUAUUAGCUAGUAGGUGAGGUAACGGCUCACCUAGGCGACGAUACAUAGCCGACCUGAGAGGGUGAUCGGCCACACUGGGACUGAGACACGGCCCAGACUCCUACGGGAGGCAGCAGUAGGGAAUCUUCGGCAAUGGGGGCAACCCUGACCGAGCAACGCCGCGUGAGUGAAGAAGGUUUUCGGAUCGUAAAGCUCUGUUGUAAGUCAAGAACGAGUGUGAGAGUGGAAAGUUCACACUGUGACGGUAGCUUACCAGAAAGGGACGGCUAACUACGUGCCAGCAGCCGCGGUAAUACGUAGGUCCCGAGCGUUGUCCGGAUUUAUUGGGCGUAAAGCGAGCGCAGGCGGUUUGAUAAGUCUGAAGUUAAAGGCUGUGGCUCAACCAUAGUUCGCUUUGGAAACUGUCAAACUUGAGUGCAGAAGGGGAGAGUGGAAUUCCAUGUGUAGCGGUGAAAUGCGUAGAUAUAUGGAGGAACACCGGUGGCGAAAGCGGCUCUCUGGUCUGUAACUGACGCUGAGGCUCGAAAGCGUGGGGAGCGAACAGGAUUAGAUACCCUGGUAGUCCACGCCGUAAACGAUGAGUGCUAGGUGUUGGAUCCUUUCCGGGAUUCAGUGCCGCAGCUAACGCAUUAAGCACUCCGCCUGGGGAGUACGACCGCAAGGUUGAAACUCAAAGGAAUUGACGGGGGCCCGCACAAGCGGUGGAGCAUGUGGUUUAAUUCGAAGCAACGCGAAGAACCUUACCAGGUCUUGACAUCCCGAUGCUAUUUCUAGAGAUAGAAAGUUACUUCGGUACAUCGGUGACAGGUGGUGCAUGGUUGUCGUCAGCUCGUGUCGUGAGAUGUUGGGUUAAGUCCCGCAACGAGCGCAACCCCUAUUGUUAGUUGCCAUCAUUCAGUUGGGCACUCUAGCGAGACUGCCGGUAAUAAACCGGAGGAAGGUGGGGAUGACGUCAAAUCAUCAUGCCCCUUAUGACCUGGGCUACACACGUGCUACAAUGGUUGGUACAACGAGUUGCGAGUCGGUGACGGCAAGCUAAUCUCUUAAAGCCAAUCUCAGUUCGGAUUGUAGGCUGCAACUCGCCUACAUGAAGUCGGAAUCGCUAGUAAUCGCGGAUCAGCACGCCGCGGUGAAUACGUUCCCGGGCCUUGUACACACCGCCCGUCACACCACGAGAGUUUGUAACACCCGAAGUCGGUGAGGUAACCUUU